GGCCGCUUGGCGCAAUGGUAGCGCGCGGUCCUCCUAUUUCGUCUUGAUGAAGUCGGGAGGUCAGACCGAGGUUGCGGGUUCGAGUCCCGUAGUGGUCG
Molecule: transfer RNA, 98 nt
Filed under: Grosmannia clavigera kw1407
Lineage: Eukaryota; Fungi; Ascomycota; Sordariomycetes; Ophiostomatales; Ophiostomataceae
Rfam family: tRNA
About the family: Transfer RNA (tRNA) molecules are approximately 80 nucleotides in length. Their secondary structure includes four short double-helical elements and three loops (D, anti-codon, and T loops).
Source: Rfam by way of RNAcentral